GUGUCUAAUAUAUAAGUUUAGUUUUAUCAUAGGUAUUUAUGUAUAGGAAGAAUAUAUAAGAUCUGGUACUGUUUGCAGUUUUAGGCACAUACUGAGGAUCUGGAAUGUAUCUUCCAUGGAUAUGUAGGGGGACUACUAUACACGGUAUUUCCACAUAUACCUCUCAUGGGCUCCAACAGCCUAUGAUUCUCAGGUUGGCUCUGUCUGCAGAAUCCAAGAUGUCAUCAAGCCAGAAAGGGAAUAUCUGUCAACUUUCAAAGAAGUUUGAGCAAGAGAAAAUAAUACUUGGGGUGUUCCCUGAAUGAACAAGAAAUCCUCAUUUGCCCAAUUUGGUACAGAUUCCUUAAGAUUCAUAAAAGAACACCAGGAGUUCAUUCUGGGGGACAAGCCACAUCAAGACCUCUCUCCUGAAGACACAUUCAUCUCCAACUCUCCCCUGUGAAAGAGCUGCAUAACCAGUCAAAGAACAAGUAUAUAGGAUUAGCACAUUAUGAAGAAUAAAGAGAAGCUUUCAGCUCUCUGUCAUGGAUGAUAUUUAUCACAUUCUUCACGACUGGCUCUAAUAACAGUGCAGAGAUAAAAUAGGUUUGAUGCAUCUCUUCUGUACGAGAAUUUUACAACUGCAACUAUAAGAAAUCCAGGAGAUGAAACACGCACUUCUCCCCUCUUGCAGAUUUUAUUAGUCUUAAAAAUGAGAGGUGUGUGUGGUGGGGAGACUAUUUCUACAAAAGUGGGCUUGGAUUUUCUGUCUGUUAUGCUAAUGUAUUCAUAGGAAAAGCUGGUGCUGAGGGCGGUUCUCCAAUUAAGACAAAUGAGGCACAUUGAAUUUCUCCCCCAGGGCACAGCAGGGGUGCUGGCAAAAUCUACUUUAUUCUUUUCUGUCAGGACUGAACUGGAAACAAAAGCAUGAAAAUUCAACACAUCCACUUACAGAAUAAUAAAGGCUGUUGUUUAAAGCGUGAAGAGUUUUGGCACCCUUCUGGGGCCUUAUGCAAAUCGCUCUUCCUCUCAACUGCUACCACACCAUCGUUCUUGGAAAUUAAAGAUGUACUUGGUCGGUUAACAGCUGAAAGGAGAAGAGCAGCCUGAAACUCAAUUAGAUUUGUAUUAAGCAAAUAAAUCAGGACUGACUGAUAUUGGCUAAACUAAAAUGCAUUAUGGGCUGACAGUAAUUCUAAUUUGAUUGACAAAUACGUGUGGUAUGUUAUUAA
Ictidomys tridecemlineatus (thirteen-lined ground squirrel) is the source of this 1211-nucleotide non-coding RNA. NCBI's taxonomy places the organism in Eukaryota, Metazoa, Chordata, Mammalia, Rodentia, Sciuridae. The record is from RefSeq and is a predicted model, not a curated record.